GAUGAACGCUAGCGGCAGGCUUAACACAUGCAAGUCGAGGGGUAUUGGUUUUCGGACCAAGAGACCGGCGCACGGGUGCGUAACGCGUAUGCAAUCUACCUUUUGCAGAGGGAUAGCCCAGAGAAAUUUGGAUUAAUACCUCAUAGUAUAGUACUUUGGCAUCAAGGAACUAUUAAAGUCACAACGGCAAAAGAUGAGCAUGCGUCCCAUUAGCUAGUUGGUAAGGUAACGGCUUACCAAGGCUACGAUGGGUAGGGGUCCUGAGAGGGAGAUCCCCCACACUGGUACUGAGACACGGACCAGACUCCUACGGGAGGCAGCAGUGAGGAAUAUUGGUCAAUGGGGCGCAAGCCUGAACCAGCCAUGCCGCGUGCAGGAAGACGGUCCUAUGGAUUGUAAACUGCUUUUAUACAGGAAGAAACCCUCCCACGUGUGGGAGCUUGACGGUACUGUAGGAAUAAGGAUCGGCUAACUCCGUGCCAGCAGCCGCGGU
RNAcentral lists this ribosomal RNA (493 nucleotides) under uncultured bacterium. RNAcentral's name for it is "bacterial SSU rRNA". It matches the Rfam family "Bacterial small subunit ribosomal RNA", at positions 28 to 521 of the family's 1533-position model. The record is from RNAcentral.